UACGUAGGGGGCAAGCGUUGUCCGGAUUUAUUGGGCGUAAAGGGCGCGUAGGCUGCGGGGCAAGUCGGGUGUGAAAUCUCAGAGCUCAACUCUGAAACUGCACUCGAUACUGCUUUGCUCGAGGACUGGAGAGGAGAUUGGAAUUCACGGUGUAGCAGUGAAAUGCGUAGAUAUCGUGAGGAAGACCAGUGGCGAAGGCGGAUCUCUGGACAGUUCCUGACGCUGAGGCGCGAAGGCCAGGGGAGCAAACGGG
This 253-nucleotide ribosomal RNA is filed under the name uncultured bacterium. Its description in RNAcentral is "partial 16S ribosomal RNA". It matches the Rfam family "Bacterial small subunit ribosomal RNA", at positions 524 to 776 of the family's 1533-position model. The record is from RNAcentral.